This 402-nucleotide ribosomal RNA is filed under the name Lancefieldella rimae. RNAcentral's name for it is "bacterial SSU rRNA". It matches the Rfam family "Bacterial small subunit ribosomal RNA", at positions 28 to 427 of the family's 1533-position model. Lineage: Bacteria; Bacillati; Actinomycetota; Coriobacteriia; Coriobacteriales; Atopobiaceae. The record is from RNAcentral.
GAUGAACGCUGGCGGCGCGCCUAACACAUGCAAGUCGAACGGUUAAAGCACCUUUUAGGUGUGUAUAAAGUGGCGAACGGCUGAGUAACACGUGGGCAACCUGCCCUCCUCUUGGGGAUAGCCUCGGGAAACCGAGGAUAAUACCCGAUACUUCAAUGUGGCCGCAUGGCGACAUUGAGAAAGCUUUUGCGGAGAAGGAUGGGCCCGCGGCCUGUUAGCUUGUUGGUGGGGUAGAGGCCUACCAAGGCAAUGAUGGGUAGCUGGGUUGAGAGACCGACCAGCCAGAUUGGGACUGAGACACGGCCCAGACUCCUACGGGAGGCAGCAGUGGGGAAUCUUGCACAAUGGGCGAAAGCCUGAUGCAGCGACGCCGCGUGCGGGACGAAGGGCCUUCGGGUUGUA